GUCUACAGCCAUGCUACCUUGAAUGUGCCCGAUCUUGUCUGAUCUCGGAAGCUAAGCCGGGUCGGGCCUGGUUAGUACUUGGAUGGGAGACCACCUAGGAAUUCUGGGUGCUAUAAGCA
Ribosomal RNA from Pteropus vampyrus (large flying fox), 119 nucleotides. The record is from Ensembl. NCBI's taxonomy places the organism in Eukaryota, Metazoa, Chordata, Mammalia, Chiroptera, Pteropodidae.